ACUGCUCCUUUCCUAGCACUUCAGGCACCAGCAUGAGCUCUUUUUUUACAAUUUAGGCAUGAGAGAGGGGAUAAAUUAUCAGCACCUAGUUGAAGAAAGGGAAUUGACACCCUCAAAUAGUUCACUGAAAUUCUCCUCUCCACCCAAAGGAGCAGAAUUCCCCAUCCUUUUGUGGGGAAUGAAUUGUCUCUUGAAAAUGUAGAGGGGAUUUUUUUUUUCCUACAGCAAUACUAAAGCUUUAGGUACUCAAGAGACUUGCAGGUCUUAUGAAAAGAAUCGAUAUUGAGGCCUUAUACUCUGCUAGACAGGGAGGAAAUGCCCACAGGGCAAUACGCAGAGACAAUACCAACAGAUGUAGCUAAACGUAACGGUUGUGCACAGACCGUAUAUUUAUAAUGCAUUGAAACCACAUUAUUUUCCUCAAGGAAUCCUGGAUACUGUAGUUUACCCCUCACAGAGCUACAGGUCCCAAAAACCUUAACAAACUACGGAUUAUUUGGGGUAAGUAAUGUACUGUUUUUGUAUGGUGUGUCUGUAGCCCAACUCUCUUCAUCACACCUGUUCCCACUGCAGAUGUCACAAGCCACUGAUCAGCUUAAAAAGCUGUAAUACAGCUAUGGGAACUGUUUCAGGCUGAGGGAGCCGGCGUUUGUCCACUGACAGCUUUCUGGGUCAUGGCACCAGCAUGACUACACUGCUUGUGGCACAAGAGAACACUAUGGCAGAAGCCAGAACACAUGGAAAUGCUAUUUACCUUCUCGCCGCAGUGGUACCUAUUUAUCUAAGUGCACUGGUGUGCUAGGUUGACAGAAGCUGGGAUAGAGCAACGAGAGCUCAACCCGUCAUGGGGAUUCGAACCAUCGACCUACAGGUCGGCAAGUCCAAGAGGCUCAGUGAUUUAGACCACAGUGCUGCCCACAUUUACCACACCAGCACAAGAUAGUUUGAUUCUUGUUUAAAAGAAUCCUUAGGUUAAAUCCCUGACUGUUUAUGUCUACCUAUAAAAAUAUGUUCAAUUAUCAAGAAGUGGGGAAUGUAAGAACUUGAAAUUUCCCUGAUUUGUUAGUGUGAAAAGCAUAGAACUACAUAAAAUAUGUCCAUACUCUGUUUUCAGUUGCAUUCCUCAGUGGA
Long non-coding RNA from Podarcis raffonei (Aeolian wall lizard), 1131 nucleotides. RefSeq lists it as uncharacterized. The transcript has 2 exons. The record is from RefSeq and is a predicted model, not a curated record. Lineage: Eukaryota; Metazoa; Chordata; Lepidosauria; Squamata; Lacertidae.